Non-coding RNA from Stegodyphus mimosarum, 73 nucleotides. Lineage: Eukaryota; Metazoa; Arthropoda; Arachnida; Araneae; Eresidae. The record is from Rfam.
GCCUUCGUGGUAUAGUGGUUAUCACGCUCGACGCGUAUUCCAGAGAUCCGUGGUUCGAGUCCCGGCGAAGGCG